This 67-nucleotide transfer RNA is filed under the name Acanthochitona mahensis. RNAcentral describes it as "tRNA-Phe". It matches the Rfam family "tRNA". Rfam says of the family: Transfer RNA (tRNA) molecules are approximately 80 nucleotides in length. Lineage: Eukaryota; Metazoa; Mollusca; Polyplacophora; Chitonida; Acanthochitonidae. The record is from RNAcentral.
AGCUAAGUAGCUCAUAAUUUAGAGCAGUGCAUUGAAGAUGCAUAGGAACUUUUAAAAGUCAUAGCUA